Molecule: ribosomal RNA, 649 nt
Filed under: Elachista antarctica
Lineage: Eukaryota; Phaeophyceae; Ectocarpales; Chordariaceae
Description: eukaryotic LSU rRNA
Rfam family: Eukaryotic large subunit ribosomal RNA
Source: RNAcentral
CUAACCAGGAUUCCCCCAGUAACGGCGAGUGAAGCGGGAAGAGCUCACGUUGUAAAUCUGACUUUCGGGUCCGAAUUGUAGUCUGGAGAGGCGUGACCAGCUGGGGACGGGGGCGAAGUCUCUUGGAAAAGAGCAUCAAGGAGGGUGACAAUCCCGUUCUUGCCUCCGUAACCCCACGCGUACGGUCCGUUUUCUACGAGUCGAGUUGCUUGGGAUUGCAGCUCAAAGCGGGUGGUAAAUUCCAUCUAAAGCUAAACACGGGAGGGAGACCGAUAGCGAACAAGUACCGUGAGGGAAAGAUGCAAAGAACUUUGAAAAGAGAGUUAAAGAGUGCCUGAAAUUGCUGAAAGGGAAGCGAAGGAAACCAGUGUCUGGCAGUGUCCGCUUAUCCUUUSCCCUUAGGGGCACUGGCUCGCGUUCCUGCCGUGGCCAGGGCCGGGUGGCGUUGCGGGAGCCUGCGCCGUGGAAGGUAGCAUCUCUUCGGAGUGUGAAGACCUCGGCGUGUCGUCGCGAUGCCGGCCGGUUCUGACGAAAUGGUUUUCUUUACCCCGUCUUGAAACACGGACCAAGGAGUCUAACAUGCCCGCGAGUACAGGGGUGUUCAAACCCCCGUGCGCAGUGAAAGUGAAUGCAGGUGGGAAGCCGCAAG